GCUGGCGGCAGGCCUAACACAUGCAAGUCGAGCGGAAACGAUGGAAGCUUGCUUCCAGGCGUCGAGCGGCGGACGGGUGAGUAAUGCAUAGGAAUCUGCCCGGUAGUGGGGGAUAACUUGGGGAAACCCAAGCUAAUACCGCAUACGCCCUACGGGGGAAAGCAGGGGAUCUUCGGACCUUGCGCUAUCGGAUGAGCCUAUGUCGGAUUAGCUAGUUGGUGAGGUAAUGGCUCACCAAGGCCGCGAUCCGUAGCUGGUCUGAGAGGAUGAUCAGCCACAUCGGGACUGAGACACGGCCCGAACUCCUACGGGAGGCAGCAGUGGGGAAUAUUGGACAAUGGGCGAAAGCCUGAUCCAGCCAUGCCGCGUGUGUGAAGAAGGCCCUCGGGUUGUAAAGCACUUUCAGUGAGGAAGAACGCUUGUGGGUUAAUACCCUGCAAGGAAGACAUCACUCACAGAAGAAGCACCGGCUAACUCCGUGCCAGCAGCCGCGGUAAUACGGGAGGGUGCGAGCGUUAAUCGGAAUUACUGGGCGUAAAGCGCGCGUAGGCGGCUUGAUAAGCCGGUUGUGAAAGCCCCGGGCUCAACCUGGGAACGGCAUCCGGAACUGUCAGGCUAGAGUGCAGGANAGGAAGGUAGAAUUNCCCGGUGUAGCGGUGAAAUGCGUAGAGAUCGGGAGGAAUACCAGUGGGCGAAGGCGGGCCUUCUGGACUGACACUGACCCCUUAGGUGCNAAAGCGUGGGUAGCAAACAGGAUUAGAUACCCUGGUAGUCCA
Molecule: ribosomal RNA, 776 nt
Filed under: Halomonas sp. G17.1
Lineage: Bacteria; Pseudomonadati; Pseudomonadota; Gammaproteobacteria; Oceanospirillales; Halomonadaceae
Description: bacterial SSU rRNA
Rfam family: Bacterial small subunit ribosomal RNA
Source: RNAcentral